Molecule: ribosomal RNA, 1133 nt
Filed under: Citrobacter freundii
Lineage: Bacteria; Pseudomonadati; Pseudomonadota; Gammaproteobacteria; Enterobacterales; Enterobacteriaceae
Description: bacterial LSU rRNA
Rfam family: Bacterial large subunit ribosomal RNA
Source: RNAcentral
CUGUUUAUUAAAAACACAGCACUGUGCAAACACGAAAGUGGACGUAUACGGUGUGACGCCUGCCCGGUGCCGGAAGGUUAAUUGAUGGGGUUAUCCGUAAGGAGAAGCUCUUGAUCGAAGCCCCGGUAAACGGCGGCCGUAACUAUAACGGUCCUAAGGUAGCGAAAUUCCUUGUCGGGUAAGUUCCGACCUGCACGAAUGGCGUAAUGAUGGCCAGGCUGUCUCCACCCGAGACUCAGUGAAAUUGAACUCGCUGUGAAGAUGCAGUGUACCCGCGGCAAGACGGAAAGACCCCGUGAACCUUUACUAUAGCUUGACACUGAACACUGGUCCUUGAUGUGUAGGAUAGGUGGGAGGCUUUGAAGUGUGGACGCCAGUCUGCAUGGAGCCAUCCUUGAAAUACCACCCUUUAAUGGCUGGUGUUCUAACGUAGACCCGUAAUCCGGGUUGCGGACAGUGUCUGGUGGGUAGUUUGACUGGGGCGGUCUCCUCCUAAAGAGUAACGGAGGAGCACGAAGGUUAGCUAAUCCUGGUCGGACAUCAGGAGGUUAGUGCAAAGGCAUAAGCUAGCUUGACUGCGAGAGUGACGGCUCGAGCAGGUGCGAAAGCAGGUCUUAGUGAUCCGGUGGUUCUGAAUGGAAGGGCCAUCGCUCAACGGAUAAAAGGUACUCCGGGGAUAACAGGCUGAUACCGCCCAAGAGUUCAUAUCGACGGCGGUGUUUGGCACCUCGAUGUCGGCUCAUCACAUCCUGGGGCUGAAGUAGGUCCCAAGGGUAUGGCUGUUCGCCAUUUAAAGUGGUACGCGAGCUGGGUUUAGAACGUCGUGAGACAGUUCGGUCCCUAUCUGCCGUGGGCGCUGGAGAAUUGAGGGGGGCUGCUCCUAGUACGAGAGGACCGGAGUGGACGCAUCACUGGUGUUCGGGUUGUCAUGCCAAUGGCAUUGCCCGGUAGCUAAAUGCGGAAGAGAUAAGUGCUGAAAGCAUCUAAGCACGAAACUUGCCCCGAGAUGAGUUCUCCCUGACCCUUUAAGGGUCCUGAAGGAACGUUGAAGACGACGACGUUGAUAGGUCGGGUGUGUAAGUGUAGCGAUACAUUGAGCUAACCGAUACUAAUGAACCGUGAGGCUUAACCUU